GUCUACAGCCAUGCUACCCUGAACAAGCCUAAUCCUGUCUGAUCUUGGAAGCUAAGCAGAGUUGGACCUGGUUAGUAUUUGGAUGGGAGACCACCUAGGAAGACCAUGUGCUAUAGGCG
This 119-nucleotide ribosomal RNA is filed under the name Pteropus alecto (black flying fox). Lineage: Eukaryota; Metazoa; Chordata; Mammalia; Chiroptera; Pteropodidae. The record is from RNAcentral.